UCGGGAGUAACAACCUGGAAACAGAUGCUAAUACCGGAUAACAACAGAUGAUGCCUAUCAACUGUUUAAAAGAUGGUUCUGCUAUCACUCUUGGAUGGACCCGCGGUGCAUUAGCUAGUUGGUAGGGUAACGGCCUACCAAGGCGAUGAUGCAUAGCCGAGUUGAGAGACUGAUCGGCCACAUUGGGACUGAGACACGGCCCAAACUCCUACGGGAGGCAGCAGGC
RNAcentral lists this ribosomal RNA (226 nucleotides) under uncultured Lactobacillus sp. RNAcentral's name for it is "partial 16S ribosomal RNA". It matches the Rfam family "Bacterial small subunit ribosomal RNA", at positions 137 to 354 of the family's 1533-position model. Lineage: Bacteria; Bacillati; Bacillota; Bacilli; Lactobacillales; Lactobacillaceae. The record is from RNAcentral.